GGACGAACGCUGGCGGCGUGCCUAAUACAUGCAAGUCGAGCGGACCGACGGGAGCUUGCUCCCUUAGGUCAGCGGCGGACGGGUGAGUAACACGUGGGUAACCUGCCUGUAAGACUGGGAUAACUCCGGGAAACCGGGGCUAAUACCGGAUGCUUGAUUGAACCGCAUGGUUCAAUCAUAAAAGGUGGCUUUUAGCUACCACUUGCAGAUGGACCCGCGGCGCAUUAGCUAGUUGGUGAGGUAACGGCUCACCAAGGCGACGAUGCGUAGCCGACCUGAGAGGGUGAUCGGCCACACUGGGACUGAGACACGGCCCAGACUCCUACGGGAGGCAGCAGUAGGGAAUCUUCCGCAAUGGACGAAAGUCUGACGGAGCAACGCCGCGUGAGUGAUGAAGGUUUUCGGAUCGUAAAACUCUGUUGUUAGGGAAGAACAAGUACCGUUCGAAUAGGGCGGUACCUUGACGGUACCUAACCAGAAAGCCACGGCUAACUACGUGCCAGCAGCCGCGGUAAUACGUAGGUGGCAAGCGUUGUCCGGAAUUAUUGGGCGUAAAGCGCGCGCAGGCGGUUUCUUAAGUCUGAUGUGAAAGCCCCCGGCUCAACCGGGGAGGGUCAUUGGAAACUGGGGAACUUGAGUGCAGAAGAGGAGAGUGGAAUUCCACGUGUAGCGGUGAAAUGCGUAGAGAUGUGGAGGAACACCAGUGGCGAAGGCGACUCUCUGGUCUGUAACUGACGCUGAGGCGCGAAAGCGUGGGGAGCGAACAGGAUUAGAUACCCUGGUAGUCCACGCCGUAAACGAUGAGUGCUAAGUGUUAGAGGGUUUCCGCCCUUUAGUGCUGCAGCAAACGCAUUAAGCACUCCGCCUGGGGAGUACGGUCGCAAGACUGAAACUCAAAGGAAUUGACGGGGGCCCGCACAAGCGGUGGAGCAUGUGGUUUAAUUCGAAGCAACGCGAAGAACCUUACCAGGUCUUGACAUCCUCUGACAACCCUAGAGAUAGGGCUUCCCCUUCGGGGGCAGAGUGACAGGUGGUGCAUGGUUGUCGUCAGCUCGUGUCGUGAGAUGUUGGGUUAAGUCCCGCAACGAGCGCAACCCUUGAUCUUAGUUGCCAGCAUUCAGUUGGGCACUCUAAGGUGACUGCCGGUGACAAACCGGAGGAAGGUGGGGAUGACGUCAAAUCAUCAUGCCCCUUAUGACCUGGGCUACACACGUGCUACAAUGGGCAGAACAAAGGGCAGCGAAGCCGCGAGGCUAAGCCAAUCCCACAAAUCUGUUCUCAGUUCGGAUCGCAGUCUGCAACUCGACUGCGUGAAGCUGGAAUCGCUAGUAAUCGCGGAUCAGCAUGCCGCGGUGAAUACGUUUCCGGGGCCUUGUACACACCGCCCGUCACACCACGAGAGUUUGUAACACCCGAAGUCGGUGAGGUAACCUUUUGGAGCCAGC
This 1445-nucleotide ribosomal RNA is filed under the name Bacillus licheniformis. RNAcentral's name for it is "bacterial SSU rRNA". It matches the Rfam family "Bacterial small subunit ribosomal RNA". The record is from RNAcentral. Lineage: Bacteria; Bacillati; Bacillota; Bacilli; Caryophanales; Bacillaceae.